Molecule: long non-coding RNA, 3640 nt
Organism: Pseudophryne corroboree (corroboree frog)
Lineage: Eukaryota; Metazoa; Chordata; Amphibia; Anura; Myobatrachidae
Exons: 2
Source: RefSeq, a predicted model, not a curated record
GGAAGGAGAGGGGGAUGCUGCAUCGGCGCUUACUACCAAUGACAUAGCGCUGCUGCGGCUCCCUGCUCCCCCUCCCUCCUCCUCCUUCUCACCUCACUGCCUGCACCGAGGGAGCUGCACGAGGAGCCCGACUGCCAGCAGGGUGAUGUUCCCUACAAGCAUGGAAGAAUGGCAAGCUAUUGCAGAGGACUUUGACAGGCGAUGGAAUUUCCCUAAACUGUGGUGGUGCGAUAGACGGAAAACAUGUGCGCAUCACCAAACCCACCAACAGCGGGUCAAACUACUUCAAUUAUAAAAGCUACUUUAGCAUUGUUCUCAUAGCGGUGGUCAAUGCAAACUAUGAAUUUAUUUUCCUGGAUGUUGGGAAAAAUGGUCGUUGCUCAGAUAGUGGAUCCUUGAAAAAUACACGUUUCUAUGAUAGGCUCACCACCAACUCCAUUCAUCUGCCACCUGUUGAGCAAACAAAGAAUGGCCUGGGAUUUGUGUUCGUGGCAGAUGAGGCCUUCGCACUGCACGAAAAUAUAAUGAAGCCCUACCUGCAAAGAAUCCUGAACCACGAUAGGCGUAUCUUCAACUACCACCUUUCUAGGGCCCGUCGGGUUGUUGAGAAUGCAUUUGGCAUUCUCAGCAACCGGUUGAGGUUCUUCCACCGACCCAUCAACAUGAGGCAGGACAAAAUUGACUGUGUAGUAACAGCAUGCUGUAUACUGCACAACAUGCUCUGAUGCAAGGCCACGAGGCAAAUGCCUUUGCUCCCAGCAGGACCGGAAGACCCCAACCAGCCACUGGUGAAAGUGCCAAUUUCCUCGGUGGGACCACAUGCAGUAACCUUACGCGGCACUGCAAGGGCAAAAGAGGUCCGUGAAAAAUAUAAUGCCUUUUUCAAUGGGGAAGGAGCUGUGGCAUGGCAGGAGGAAUACAUUAGGUAAAAACAAUUUAAAAGCAACUUACCCCUUCGGCCUCCACCACAUCCAGACUUCCCUCCUCGGACUCUGGUCCUCAUUCCAAGUUGAUCGCUCGCUAGCUACUUUUAGCCGCCGAGCAAACGCAUAGUCGCCGCCCACAGGUGAGUGUAUUUUAGCAUAGCAGGAGUGCGAACGCCUGUGCAGCAGAGCGGCUGCAAACACAUUUUGUGCAGAACAAGACCAGCCCUGUAGUUACUUAUUCUGUGCAAUGAUUUCUGCGACGAAUGACAUGGUAAUGAUGUCAGAUACCCGCCCAGCAAAUUUUUCCAAUCACUCCCAGAAAAUGGUCAAUUUACAUCCAGAAACUCCCACUUCCUGUCAAUCUCUCUGCGUCUGCCAGUGCGACUGAAAGCGUUGCUAGAACCUGUGUAAAACCACGAUGCUCAUUGUACCCGUACGUCAUGUGCGCGCAUUGCGGGGCAUACGCAUGCACAGUUUUGCCGUUUUUUUAAAUGAUCGCUACACAGCGAACAAUGGCAGCUAGCGAUCAACUCGGAAUGAGGUCCUCUGCCAUCACCACUAGGAACACCUUAGUUGACUGUUUCUCCAGGAGGAAGUUUAAUUCUUGGUAGUACCAUAGCUGUGGCACAUACACCUUGUCUGCACCAGCCCCUGACCUCUUGGAAUCCUCCACCUUGCGGUUCUCUUUUACAAUUUUUGGCAAUUUUCUUCCGGACCCAGGCGACCAAGGCCGCAAAGAAGGUGGGCUUGGAAUACUCCACCAGGCAGUUAUAAGCAGCCUCCCUCUUCUUUUUGUUGCUGUAGUCUGGUGAGGACGUCAGCCACAGAUACUCCUCCUCACGGUACAGGCUGAUAAAGCCCAAUAGGAAAUCGCAGCUCUCAUAGAACAUCUGCAGAAUGCAAAAAAAGGAAAAUGAAAAAACAUGAAAAAAGUUCCAUUAUUCUGGUUAAAUAACGUUUGUUUUCUAGUAUUAUUCUGUUUAAAUAAAGUUUGUUUUCUAGUAUUAUUCUGGUUAAAAUAGGAUUUUAAUUACCUACCGGUAAAUCUUUUUCUCAUAGUCCAUAGAGGAUACUAGGGUCCACAUUAGUACUAUGGGGUAUAGACAGGUCCACUAGGAGUCAUGGGCACUUUAAGAAAUUAAUAGUGUGGGCUGGCUCCUCCUUCUAUGCCCCUCCUACCAGACUCAGUCUAGAAACUGUGCCCGAGGAGACGGACAUACUUCGAGAGAAAGAUUUAACUGAAUAGUGGUGAGAUUCGAACCAGCACACACAAACAAGAGGAAAGCCAUGCUAACCCAACUUGAAUCGGAACAGCAACGGCUGAACCAACAACAAUACUUAACCAAAUAACAGUGCAGAAAAAAAACGAAGCACCGGGCGGGCACCCAGUAUCCUCUACGGACUACGAGAAAAGGAUUUACCAGUAGUUAAUUACAAUCCUAUUUUCUCUUACAUCCUAGAGGAUACUGGGGUCCACAUUAGUACCAUGGGGAUAUACCAAAGCUCCCAAACCGGGUGGGAGAGUGCUGACGUUCCUGCAGAACAGAUUUACCAAACUGAAGGUCCUCAGCAGCCAAAGUAUCGAACUUGUAGAACUUAGCAAACAUGUUCGAACCAGACUAAGUAGCUGCUCGGCAGAGCUGUAAAGCCAAGACACCCCAGGCAGCCACCCAGGAAGAACCCACCGACCUAGUAGAGUGGGCCUGUACCGAUAUUGGAACCGGUAAACCUGCCAUAGAAUAGGCAUGCUGGAUAGUAAACCUAAUCCAGCGAGAAAUAGACUGCUUUGAAGCAGGACACUCAAUCUUAUUGGGAUUCUAGAGCAAAAACAGUGAGUCAGACUUACUGUAACAAGCCGUCCGUUGUACAUAAAUUUUCAAAGCCCUCACAACAUCCAAGGACUUUGAAGAAGCAGAGGUGUCAGUAAGCACCAGGACCACAAUAGGUUGGUUGAUAUAAAAAGCAGACACCACCUUCGGAAGAAACUGCUGACGAGUUCUGAGUUCAGCACGAUCCUCAUGAAAAAUCAAGUAGGGGCUCUUGUGAGACAAUGCCCCCAGUUCCGACACUUACGUGGCUGAGGCCAGGGCCAACUGUCUUCCAUGUAAGAAACUUAACGCCCUCUGCCUGUAAGAGCUCAAACCAAUCCGCCUGGACAAAGUGCAACACAACAUUGAGAUCCCAAGGGGCUGUAGGAGGCACAAAGGGCAGUUGAAUAUGUAGAACACCUUUCAAAAAGGUCUGAACCUCCGGAAUAGAUGACAGUUGUUUCUGGAAGAAAAUGGACAAGGCCGAAAUCUGAACUUUUAAGGAGCUCAGACGUAGGUCUACAUCCACUCCAGCCUGCAGAAAAAGAAGAAAAUGCCCCAGCUUAAAUUCUGCCGCAGGAAUUUUUCUGGUCUCAGACCAAGAGACGUACUUCUUCAAGAUACAGUGGUAAUGCUUAGACAUUACCCCCUUUCUGGCUUGGAUCAAAGUACCACCUCAGCAUAAUAAAUAUACCAUAUCAUUCCUGUAUAUUGUUAGAAUAGAAAUAUGAUUCCUGCUAUAUUUAGUAUAGAGCUCAAAAAGAAGGAGGGGGCCCAGGAACAUGUAUGCAUUUAUAUUAUUAUCGGGUGAGAGAUAGCAAUAUCUGUAUCAAAAUAUAUGCGACACGACUAUUGAUGAACUGCGAUAAUAAACAAGGUGGCAAAGACAUAGGAAAUCUUAAAUAA